This 1372-nucleotide ribosomal RNA is filed under the name uncultured bacterium. RNAcentral describes it as "bacterial SSU rRNA". It matches the Rfam family "Bacterial small subunit ribosomal RNA", at positions 28 to 1381 of the family's 1533-position model. The record is from RNAcentral.
GAUGAACGCUGGCGGCGUGCCUAAUACGUGCAAGUCGAGCGAACGGACGAGAAGCUUGCUUCUCUGAUGUUAGCGGCGGACGGGUGAGUAACACGUGGAUAACCUACCUAUAAGACUGGGAUAACUUCGGGAAACCGGAGCUAAUACCGGAUAAUAUUUUGAACCGCAUGGUUCAAAAGUAAAAGACGGUCUUGCUGUCACUUAUAGAUGGAUCCGCGCUGCAUUAGCUAGUUGGUAAGGUAACGGCUUACCAAGGCAACGAUGCAUAGCCGACCUGAGAGGGUGAUCGGCCACACUGGAACUGAGACACGGUCCAGACUCCUACGGGAGGCAGCAGUAGGGAAUCUUCCGCAAUGGGCGAAAGCCUGACGGAGCAACGCCGCGUGAGUGAUGAAGGUCUUCGGAUCGUAAAACUCUGUUAUUAGGGAAGAACAUAUGUGUAAGUAACUGUGCACAUCUUGACGGUACCUAAUCAGAAAGCCACGGCUAACUACGUGCCAGCAGCCGCGGUAAUACGUAGGUGGCAAGCGUUAUCCGGAAUUAUUGGGCGUAAAGCGCGCGUAGGCGGUUUUUUAAGUCUGAUGUGAAAGCCCACGGCUCAACCGUGGAGGGUCAUUGGAAACUGGAAAACUUGAGUGCAGAAGAGGAAAGUGGAAUUCCAUGUGUAGCGGUGAAAUGCGCAGAGAUAUGGAGGAACACCAGUGGCGAAGGCGACUUUCUGGUCUGUAACUGACGCUGAUGUGCGAAAGCGUGGGGAUCAAACAGGAUUAGAUACCCUGGUAGUCCACGCCGUAAACGAUGAGUGCUAAGUGUUAGGGGGUUUCCGCCCCUUAGUGCUGCAGCUAACGCAUUAAGCACUCCGCCUGGGGAGUACGACCGCAAGGUUGAAACUCAAAGGAAUUGACGGGGACCCGCACAAGCGGUGGAGCAUGUGGUUUAAUUCGAAGCAACGCGAAGAACCUUACCAAAUCUUGACAUCCUUUGACAACUCUAGAGAUAGAGCCUUCCCCUUCGGGGGACAAAGUGACAGGUGGUGCAUGGUUGUCGUCAGCUCGUGUCGUGAGAUGUUGGGUUAAGUCCCGCAACGAGCGCAACCCUUAAGCUUAGUUGCCAUCAUUAAGUUGGGCACUCUAAGUUGACUGCCGGUGACAAACCGGAGGAAGGUGGGGAUGACGUCAAAUCAUCAUGCCCCUUAUGAUUUGGGCUACACACGUGCUACAAUGGACAAUACAAAGGGCAGCGAAACCGCGAGGUCAAGCAAAUCCCAUAAAGUUGUUCUCAGUUCGGAUUGUAGUCUGCAACUCGACUACAUGAAGCUGGAAUCGCUAGUAAUCGUAGAUCAGCAUGCUACGGUGAAUACGUUCCCGGGUCU